This 253-nucleotide ribosomal RNA is filed under the name uncultured bacterium. Its description in RNAcentral is "partial 16S ribosomal RNA". It matches the Rfam family "Bacterial small subunit ribosomal RNA", at positions 524 to 776 of the family's 1533-position model. The record is from RNAcentral.
UACAGAGGUCUCAAGCGUUGUUCGGAUUCAUUGGGCGUAAAGGGUGCGUAGGCGGCAGGCCAAGUCGGGAGUGAAAGCCCGGGGCUCAACCCCGGAAUGUCUUUCGAAACUGGCCAGCUGGAGUGCGGAAGAGGCAACUGGAAUUCCCAGUGUAGCGGUGAAAUGCGUAGAUAUUGGGAAGAACACCUGAGGCGAAGGCGGGUUGCUGGGCCGACACUGACGCUGAGGCGCGAAAGCCAGGGGAGCAAACGGG